This 253-nucleotide ribosomal RNA is filed under the name uncultured bacterium. RNAcentral's name for it is "partial 16S ribosomal RNA". It matches the Rfam family "Bacterial small subunit ribosomal RNA", at positions 524 to 776 of the family's 1533-position model. The record is from RNAcentral.
UACAGAGGGUGCGAGCGUUAAUCGGAAUUACUGGGCGUAAAGCGUGCGUAGACGGUAGCGUAAGUCAGAUGUGAAAGCCCCGGGCUCAACCUGGGAACUGCAUUUGAGACUGCUCUGCUCGGGUGCGGAAGAGGGAAGCGGAAUUUCCGGUGUAGCGGUGAAAUGCGUAGAUAUCGGAAGGAACACCAGUGGCGAAAGCGGCUCCCUGGUCCAGCACCGACGUUCAGGCACGAAAGCGUGGGGAGCAAACAGG